Molecule: non-coding RNA, 45 nt
Filed under: Schistosoma margrebowiei
Lineage: Eukaryota; Metazoa; Platyhelminthes; Trematoda; Strigeidida; Schistosomatidae
Source: RNAcentral
AUCCAGCUGAUGGGUCCCAAACAGGACGAAACAUGCGUCCUAGAU